This 71-nucleotide transfer RNA is filed under the name Bos taurus (domestic cattle). It matches the Rfam family "tRNA". Rfam says of the family: Transfer RNA (tRNA) molecules are approximately 80 nucleotides in length. Their secondary structure includes four short double-helical elements and three loops (D, anti-codon, and T loops). RNAcentral also lists the same sequence under 2 other names. Lineage: Eukaryota; Metazoa; Chordata; Mammalia; Artiodactyla; Bovidae. The record is from Rfam by way of RNAcentral.
UCCCAUGUGGCUCAGUGGUAAAGAAUCUGCCUGCAAUGCAAGAGAUCCAGGUUUGAUUCCUGGGGCGGGAA